GGCACGGGGGCGUGCCAUUAUGUCCCUGGCACGGUACGGCACAGGCAUGCUUGCGUGCCGACACGUGGCACGCUUGCGUGCCGAUAAAUACGCAUGAUCUCCUACUGGCACGCUUUGGCACAGACUUAUUUAAGUUUUUUUAGUUCCAAUAAACUCUUAUAAUGUUAUUUUGACUGAUUUAAAUAAAUAAUUAUGAAUAUUUAUUAUGUAUACUUUACUAUACUCAUCAAUUAAUAUACAUGUAAGCUUUUUGUAAGUAAAAUAUGACUAUACUUGAUAUAGAAUAGAAAUUAAAAUACAAUAAUAAAAUCUACAAGUAUAAUAAUUAUUUAAAUUUACAUCUUUACAUAGAGAUGACUGUUUAAUUCGACAUAAAUCGUCGCGCUUGAUCAUAUGGCAUAUUAUCAUCUGCAGAUACAAGAUUUAUUUUGAAAAUGUUGAUAUAAGUAUUGCUGGUAUUUGUGAGAAAGUUAUAUAUUCCCGAUAUUACAUCCAUAUUUUUUUAUUUUGUUAUUCUUUUUAAAAAUAUCUGAUCAAAAUUUGUUUAGGAGAUUGAUUUUUGUUAUCUUGAUUCACCAAAAGCUUCGCGGUGCGACAAUUUUUGACAAAAUAUUUUGCGAAGAAAAAAUAGAUGUCUGUGGAGGAAGCGGAGGGCUCAGGCCGAAAGGCCCGAGUCCGUAGCCCACCACUGACAUCUGAGGGGGGUG
This 707-nucleotide long non-coding RNA is filed under the name Ananas comosus (pineapple). Its description in RNAcentral is "long non-coding RNA (ACOM_LNC024535)". The record is from RNAcentral. Lineage: Eukaryota; Viridiplantae; Streptophyta; Magnoliopsida; Poales; Bromeliaceae.